GCGCCCGUAGCUCAGCUGGAUAGAGUACUGCCCUCCGAAGGCAGGGGUCGGACGUUCAAGUCGUCUCGGGCGUGCCA
This 77-nucleotide transfer RNA is filed under the name Accumulibacter sp. RNAcentral describes it as "tRNA-Arg". The record is from RNAcentral. Lineage: Bacteria; Pseudomonadati; Pseudomonadota; Betaproteobacteria.